UACAGAGGUGGCGAGCGUUGUUCGGAUUUACUGGGCGUAAAGGGUGCGUAGGUGGUUUUGCGUGUCGGACGUGAAAGCCCACUGCUUAACGGUGGAACUGCGUUCGAAACUGCAGGGCUUGAGUGCAGGAGAGGAGAGCGGAAUACUUGGUGUAGCGGUGGAAUGCGUUGAUAUCAAGUAGAACACCGGUGGCGUAGGCGGCUCUCUGGAAUGCAACUGACACUGAGGCACGAAAGCGUGGGGAG
This 245-nucleotide ribosomal RNA is filed under the name uncultured bacterium. Its description in RNAcentral is "partial 16S ribosomal RNA". It matches the Rfam family "Bacterial small subunit ribosomal RNA", at positions 524 to 768 of the family's 1533-position model. The record is from RNAcentral.